CCUACGGGCGGCAGCAGUGGGGAAUAUUGCACAAUGGGGGAAACCCUGAUGCAGCGACGCCGCGUGAGUGAAGCAGUAAUUCGUUAUGUAAAGCUCUAUCAGCAGGGAAGAAAAUGACGGUACCUGAGUAAGAAGCCCCGGCUAACUACGUGCCAGCAGCCGCGGUAAUACGUAGGGGGCAAGAGUUAUCCGGAUUUAAUGGGUGGAAAGGGAGCGUAGACGGCAGUGAAAGUCUGGAGUGAAAGGCGGGGGCUCAACCCCCGGACUGCUCUGGAAACUGUACGGCUGGAGUGCAGGAGAGGUAAGUGGAAUUCCUAGUGUAGCGGUGAAAUGCGUAGAUAUUAGGAGGAACACCAGUGGCGAAGGCGGCUUACUGGACUGUAACUGACGUUGAGGCUCGAAAGCGUGGGGAGCAAACAGGAUUAGAUACCCCUGUAGUC
This 440-nucleotide ribosomal RNA is filed under the name uncultured bacterium. RNAcentral describes it as "partial 16S ribosomal RNA". It matches the Rfam family "Bacterial small subunit ribosomal RNA", at positions 338 to 795 of the family's 1533-position model. The record is from RNAcentral.